GUGCCAGCCGCCGCGGUAAUACCAGCAGCCCGAGUGAUGGCCGAUCUUAUUGGGCCUAAAGCGUCCGUAGCUGGCUGCGCAAGUCCGUCGGGAAAUCCACCCGCCCAACGGGUGGCCGUCCGGUGGAAACUACACGGCUUGGGACCGGAAGGCGCGACGGGUACGUCCAGGGUAGGAGUGAAAUCCCGUAAUCCUGGACGGACCGCCGAUGGCGAAAGCACGUCGCGAGAACGGGUCCGACAGUGAGGGACGAAAGCUAGGGUCUCGAACCGGAUUAGAAACCCCUGUAGUCC
Molecule: ribosomal RNA, 293 nt
Filed under: uncultured bacterium
Lineage: Bacteria
Description: partial 16S ribosomal RNA
Rfam family: Archaeal small subunit ribosomal RNA
Source: RNAcentral